GGAAAUCGAUUGCAUAACAAGGGUGUAAGGAAAUCUUAAGUGUUUGUAAAUGUGAAAUCGAUUAGGCAAUCGAUUAGCUUAAUUAAAAAUGAAAACUGCACAAGUCAGUAGCACUCUGAUUUGGAGAGUAAUCGAUUGGGAAAUCGAUUGAACAUUUCACAAAUCAAACCUGAUGGUAACACAUCGAUUGGUAAAUCGAUUGGAUGAGUCACAGUGGCACUCCAGUGCUGAGG
Molecule: long non-coding RNA, 233 nt
Filed under: Cicer arietinum (chickpea)
Lineage: Eukaryota; Viridiplantae; Streptophyta; Magnoliopsida; Fabales; Fabaceae
Description: long non-coding RNA (CARI_LNC001166)
Source: RNAcentral